UGUUAGUACAUUUUUACAUGAUAGUACAUGUUUACGCUAUAAAUCUAGUGUUUUGCAACGUUUUCUGUGAGGGUUGUGUUUAGGGCUUGGGUUAGAAGACAGAAAAUAUGAUUAACUUCAUAUAAAAAACAAUGGAGAUCUAUCAGAAGACCUCAGUAAUGUAGUCAAAUAAGCCUGUGUGUGUGUGUGUGUGUGUGUGUGUGUGUUUCAGGUCUGGAUCAGUUCUGCAGUUUUAAUCAAUCUGAUCCCUGUUACGCAGCUCUGGGACACAAACUCAAUCUGCUGAUGGUGCGAGACACUCGAGAAUAUGACCUGAGGUUACGUCACAGAAUAAAUAACACACAAGAUGAUCCAGUUUGUAGAGUAAAAUAUGGCAGGAUAAAGGAAUGUGAUCUUUAUAAUAACAGAACUGAAGUGAACAUCAUUAAUGGGACUGUGAUAAUAAAGCGUGUGAUCAGAGCAGAUUCUGGGAAUUACAGAUUAACACUCACUGACUCAGACGGCACAGACACAUCUAGAGAUCUUCAAGUGAUUGUUGAAGCUCCUAUUGGCUCAGUGGAAGUGUCAAUCAUCUGCUCCUCCAGUGGGGUGAUGAAGGUGUUCUGCUCCUCUGAGGGGGAUCAGCUCCUCUACAGCUGGACUCUGAAUGGAGAUCCACUGAUGGAUGGAAACAGCAGCAUUGAUCUGGAUGAGGGAACUGAUGGAGACAUCAGCUGCAGUGUGAAGAACCACAUCAGUCACGCACAGAAGAACAUUAGACUUAAACCCUGUCCUGGACCAACUACUGCAGCUGUGACCUCUAGUUUGACCUCUACGUCGACACAGACAGCAGAUUAUGGUCUGAAAGUAAAAUGCAGUUUUAAUCAAUCUGAACCCUGUUACGCAGCUCUGGGACACAAACUCAAUCUGCUGAUGGAGCGGGACGCUCAAGAAUAUGAUCUGAAGAUAAUAAAGAGAAUAAAAAACAACACACAAGAUGAUCCAAUUUGUAGAGUAAAAUAUGGCAGGAUAAAGGAAUGUGAUCUUUAUAAUAACAGAACUGAAGUGAACAUCACUAAUGGGACUGUGAUAAUAAACCGUGUGAUCAGAGCAGAUUCUGGGAAUUACAGAUUACUACUCUUUCACUCAUAUGGCAUACAAACAUCUAGAGAUCUUCAAGUGAUUGUUGAAGCUCCUAUUGGCUCAGUGAGAGUGUCAAUCAUCUGCUCCUCCAGUGGGGUGAUGAGGGUGUUCUGCUCCUCUGAGGGGGAUCAGCUCCUCUACAGCUGGACUCUGAAUGGAGAUCCACUGAUGGAUGGAAACAGCAGCAUUGAUCUGGAUGAGGGAACUGAUGGAGACAUCAGCUGCAGCGUGAAGAACCACGUCAGUCACGCACAGAAGAACAUUAGAGCCAAACCCUGUCCUGGACCAACUACUGCAGCUGUGACCUUUAGUUUGACCUCUACGUCGACACAGACAUCAGAAUAUGGUACGAGUUUCUCAUCAGCUGAUAUGAAUGUCACCUACACAACUGCAUUUUCUUCCAGGAUGUAUGAGUGCUGAGCUACAACACAUAAUGUAAAUAACGAUGAAAUCUAAUAAUAAUGAUGGCAGCGAGGGAUCUAUAGGAUCUAUUAUUUGUUUUCUUUCCUGAAAUUAAAAUACCAUAAUAAACAAAAUAUGCGAUUGGUUUUUAAAAAUCCA
Molecule: long non-coding RNA, 1683 nt
Organism: Cyprinus carpio (common carp)
Lineage: Eukaryota; Metazoa; Chordata; Actinopteri; Cypriniformes; Cyprinidae
Source: Ensembl